GCGUUGCGAUCUGUUCCUUUCCUUCUUCGGCCGGAACAGUCUGGAUCAUUCAUCCUACAUCUGGGCCAAACGUCUGUCAGUCAAUCUGCAAACCCGACUGUCCGUCCAGGUGCUUGAACCAGCACAGUCCUCUUGAUGAGCAUCACUCAAGACGGAGAAGAAACUGCUGCACAGCGUGGCAUGAAGUAUCUUAGUUCCCUAAUCAGAGAUUGCACCUGUUCCCCCUGCAUUGGAAGCUCGGUGUCUUAACCACUGACCACCAGGGAAGUCCCUUGUUCCCUUUGAAUAAAAGGGAAUAAAACCACCUACUGACUUGG
This is a long non-coding RNA of Capra hircus (goat), 317 nucleotides long. RefSeq lists it as uncharacterized. The transcript is spliced from 2 exons. The record is from RefSeq and is a predicted model, not a curated record. NCBI's taxonomy places the organism in Eukaryota, Metazoa, Chordata, Mammalia, Artiodactyla, Bovidae.